CAAUGCCGCGUGAGUGAAGAAGGCCUUCGGGUGUAAAGCUCUUUUGUCAGGGAAGAAACGGUGGGGGACUAAUAUCUCCUGCUAAUGACGGUACCUGAAGAAUAAGCACCGGCUAACUACGUGCCAGCAGCCGCGGUAAUACGUAGGGUGCAAGCGUUAAUCGGAAUUACUGGGCGUAAAGCGUGCGCAGGCGGUUUUGUAAGUCUGUCGUGAAAUCCCCGGGCUCAACCUGGGAAUUGCGAUGGAGACUGCAAGGCUAGAAUCUGGCAGAGGGGGGUAGAAUUCCACGUGUAGCAGUGAAAUGCGUAGAGAUGUGGAGGAACACCGAUGGCGAAGGCAGCCCCCUGGGUCAAGAUUGACGCUCAUGCACGAAAGCGUGGGAGCAAACAGGAUUAGAUACCCUGGUAGUCCACGACCCUAAACGAUGUCUACUAGUUGUCGGGUUUUAAUUAACUUGGUAACGCAGCUAACGCGUGAAGUAGACCGCCUGGGAGUACGGUCGCAAGAUU
This 509-nucleotide ribosomal RNA is filed under the name uncultured Pseudomonadota bacterium. RNAcentral describes it as "bacterial SSU rRNA". It matches the Rfam family "Bacterial small subunit ribosomal RNA", at positions 392 to 895 of the family's 1533-position model. Lineage: Bacteria; Pseudomonadati; Pseudomonadota. The record is from RNAcentral.